GACCUGAGCCCUAGGACCAUGCCUCAGGACUACCUGGCAUGAUGACUCCUUGCUGUCCCCAGUCCACCUGGCCGUGCUGCUGCUCCAGUUUCAACUGUUCUGCCUGCGGCUAUGGAACCCUGACCUGUUCACCGGACGUGCUUGUUGCACCCUCGACAACUACUAUGAUUAUUAUUAUUUGACCAUGCUGGUCAUUUAUGAACAUUUUAACAUCUUGACCAUGUUCUGUUAUAAUAUCCACCCUGCACAGCCAGAAGAGGACUGGCCACCCCUCAUAGCCUGGUUCCUCUCUAGGGAGUUUUUCCUAGGGAGUUUUUCCUAGCCACCGUGCUUCUUUCACAUGCAUUGCUUGCUGUUUGGGGUUUUAGGCUGGGUUUCUGUACAGCACUUUGAGAUAUCAGCUGAUGUACGAAGGGCUAUAUAAAUACAUUUGAUUUGAUUUGAUUUAGGUAGAUGCGGUAUGUCCUGUAUAACACAAACUCACUUCCUUGAAAACAACUCUGCGCUGCUCUGCGGAGCGCAAGAAGUAUGUAUGCCCUGACUUCUGCAGAGGCUGUGUCAUCAUAAAUGCUGCAUGGCCAAUGCAGACGGAAUGACCAUGCAGCGAGUUUUACUCUUAACCUAUUCCUUACCCUAAACCUAAACCCUAAGCCUAAAAUAGCCGUUUUCCUUGUGGGGACCAGCGAAAUGUCUCCACUUGUCCAAAUGUUCCUUGUUUUACUACCAAAAACACACACACACACACACACUGCUGCUAUAACUAAGUGUGUCAAUCUCCUUCACUUUCUCAUGCAUCCUUUCCGUACAAAGCGCCAUGGACAAAUAUGCCAGUGUUGUAACUCUAUCAGAAGUAACCUACCAUGUCGACCUAUAAUGCACUUUAUCAGGGGUGAAUAACAAUGCACUCUUUCAUGAGAAUGAACUGCAAAGAGUAACGUUUUUCAGAAGUUUGAAAGAAGACACUGGGCGCGUUCCUCUGCUGAGAUGUUGCUGACGCCUGCCAGAUCUCACAACACCUGGAUGUUUUGAAUAUGUUAAG
RNAcentral lists this long non-coding RNA (1039 nucleotides) under Salmo salar (Atlantic salmon). RNAcentral's name for it is "lncRNA (ENSSSAG00000101049.1)". The record is from RNAcentral. Lineage: Eukaryota; Metazoa; Chordata; Actinopteri; Salmoniformes; Salmonidae.